GUGUCAGCCGCCGCGGUAAUACGUAGGGUGCAAGCGUUAUCCGGAAUCACUGGGCGUAAAGCGUGCGUAGGUGGAUGUUUAAGUGUGAUGUUAAAUCGUGGGGCUCAACCCUGUCGUUGCAUCGCAUACUGGGCAUCUAGAGGACGGCAGAGGCAAGUGGAAUUGGUAGUGUAGCAGUGAAAUGCGUAGAUAUUACCAGGAACACCAAUGGCGAAGGCAGCUUGCUGGGCCACUCCUGACACUGAGGUACGAAAGCGUGGGGAGCGAACAGGAUUAGAUACCCUGGUAGUCC
This 292-nucleotide ribosomal RNA is filed under the name uncultured bacterium. Its description in RNAcentral is "partial 16S ribosomal RNA". It matches the Rfam family "Bacterial small subunit ribosomal RNA", at positions 505 to 796 of the family's 1533-position model. The record is from RNAcentral.